CAGAUAUCGCUGGAAUGCCUCUCUCUAGCGCAAACUGAACUUGAGCUUCGUGUUCAUCCUUGGGAGCAAACGACAUGGUAAGAACAUCUCUUUCAAAGAUAUAUCCACCAAAACUGGCUACACCGCAACCAACAUCCAAAAUCACUCUGGUAUGCUUUCCCCAUCCGAUCUUCGGCACUGCCUAAAUUUUGCAAAAGUCAAUCCAUGUCAUAUCAAAUAUGCCUUCUUACUAAAUAGGCAUUGAAAUAUAAAGCUUUUAUCAUUACCCUCUGCAGGAAAUCUAUGUAAUGGAGAGCUCCAUGGAUAAACUGAGUUCCACCUCCAGGGAAUGUCAAGAACUCACCGGUUACCUUAACCCAGUUUUGAUGUCCCUUAACUUCUGCCAAUUUUGUGCGAGGGACAUUGUGGUACCA
Molecule: long non-coding RNA, 413 nt
Filed under: Linum usitatissimum (flax)
Lineage: Eukaryota; Viridiplantae; Streptophyta; Magnoliopsida; Malpighiales; Linaceae
Description: long non-coding RNA (LUSI_LNC004617)
Source: RNAcentral